RNAcentral lists this long non-coding RNA (649 nucleotides) under Mus pahari (shrew mouse). Its description in RNAcentral is "lncRNA (MGP_PahariEiJ_G0006519.1)". Lineage: Eukaryota; Metazoa; Chordata; Mammalia; Rodentia; Muridae. The record is from RNAcentral.
UGCUUCAGCUCCUGGCUCCAAGUCCCUGCCCUGUGUGAGUUCCUAGCCUGAUUUCCUUUGGUGAUGAACAGCAGUGUGGAAAUGUAAGUGGACCCUCAGUCUCUCCAAGGACUGACUAUCUUCACAUCAAGACUUUGGAAAUUCUUCUACUCCUUCAAGAAGUGGGCUUAGGAAAUGGAAUAAUCAAAGCCUGCAGAAGACUUAUAGAUGGGACCACAUCCUUGUCCAUAUACCUGAAGGCAGACAGGAACAUCAGUUGGCUCCUCUCUAGAUAAGAGACAUUUUAGGACACUGAGGAAACAUAACUUGAGCUCUUGAACACAUUGUUGAGGACUAGAAGAAAUGAAUGAGCACCAGCAGAUGCUUUGGAAUACUGUUGAGCGAUGGAUACCUGUCUAAUAUUGCCAAAGUUAGUUUCUGAGAUCCUAUGGGAAACAUCAGUCAUCAUUAGAACUGACUGAAUGUUCUCUACAAGGAGGAAUGGGAGGCUGUCCAAUCUCACAGGUUUUUUGAAAUAAGAUCACCACGUUAGUGGGCUAGUGAUAUGGGAACAUCAAGGAGCCCACAGUAAAUUCAUUGCUUUACGACAAAUACAAUUUGAAGAUCCUCCAACACAUACGAUUUGUGCUUCCUUUCUCUCUGGACAUAU